UACGGAGGGUGCAAGCGUUAUCCGGAUUCACUGGGUUUAAAGGGUGCGUAGGUGGGUUGGUAAGUCAGUGGUGAAAUCUCCGAGCUUAACUUGGAAACUGCCAUUGAUACUAUCAGUCUUGAAUAUUGUGGAGGUUAGCGGAAUAUGUCAUGUAGCGGUGAAACGCUUAGAUAUGACAUAGAACACCAAUUGCGAAGGCAGCUGGCUACGCAUAUAUUGACACUGAGGCACGAAAGCGUGGGGAUCAAACAGG
This 253-nucleotide ribosomal RNA is filed under the name uncultured bacterium. RNAcentral's name for it is "partial 16S ribosomal RNA". It matches the Rfam family "Bacterial small subunit ribosomal RNA", at positions 524 to 776 of the family's 1533-position model. The record is from RNAcentral.